This 423-nucleotide ribosomal RNA is filed under the name uncultured bacterium. RNAcentral's name for it is "partial 16S ribosomal RNA". It matches the Rfam family "Bacterial small subunit ribosomal RNA", at positions 360 to 774 of the family's 1533-position model. The record is from RNAcentral.
AAUCAUCUGCAAUGGACGAAAGUCUGCUGGAGCGACGCCGCUUGAGUGUUGAAGGUUUUCGGAUCGGAAAACUCUGUAGUUAGGGCAGAACAAGUAUCGGAGUAAUAUGCCGGUACCUUGAUGGUAUCUUACCAAAAAUCCCCUGCUAACUACCUGCCAGCCGCCGCGGUAAUACGUAGGGGGCAAGCGUUGUUCGGAAUUAUUGGUAGUAAAAGGCAAGCAGGCGGUUAAUUAAGUCUGAUGUGAAAUCUUGUGGCUGAACCACAAGCGGUCAUUGGAAACAGGAUAACUUGAGUACAGAAGAGGAGAGUAGAAUUCCACGUGUAGCGGUGAAAUGCGUAGAGAUGUGGAGGAACACCAGUGGCGAAGGCGGCUCUCUGGUCUGUAACUGACGCUGAGGUGCGAAAGCGUGGGGAGCGAACA